RNAcentral lists this ribosomal RNA (465 nucleotides) under Vreelandella stevensii. Its description in RNAcentral is "partial 16S ribosomal RNA". It matches the Rfam family "Bacterial small subunit ribosomal RNA", at positions 338 to 795 of the family's 1533-position model. The record is from RNAcentral. Lineage: Bacteria; Pseudomonadati; Pseudomonadota; Gammaproteobacteria; Oceanospirillales; Halomonadaceae.
CCUACGGGGUGCUGCAGUGGGGAAUAUUGGACAAUGGGCGAAAGCCUGAUCCAGCCAUGCCGCGUGUGUGAAGAAGGCCUUCGGGUUGUAAAGCACUUUCAGUGGGGAAGAAAGCCUUGGGGCUAAUACCCUCGAGGAAGGACAUCACCCACAGAAGAAGCACCGGCUAACUCCGUGCCAGCAGCCGCGGUAAUACGGAGGGUGCGAGCGUUAAUCGGAAUUACUGGGCGUAAAGCGCGCGUAGGCGGUCUGAUAAGCCGGUUGUGAAAGCCCCGGGCUCAACCUGGGAACGGCAUCCGGAACUGGCAGGCUAGAGUGCAGUAGAGGAAGGUAGAAUUCCCGGUGUAGCGGUGAAAUGCGUAGAGAUCGGGAGGAAUACCAGUGGCGAAGGCGGCCUUCUGGACUGACACUGACGCUGAGGUGCGAAAGCGUGGGUAGCAAACAGGAUUAGAUACCCUAGUAGUC